GAUGAACGCUCGCUACAGGCUUAACACAUGCAAGUCGAGGGGCAGCAUGGUCUUAGCUUGCUAAGGCCGAUGGCGACCGGCGCACGGGUGAGUAACACGUAUCCAACCUGCCGUCUACUCUUGGACAGCCUUCUGAAAGGAAGAUUAAUACAAGAUGGCAUCAUGAGUCCGCAUGUUCACAUGAUUAAAGGUAUUCCGGUAGACGAUGGGGAUGCGUUCCAUUAGAUAGUAGGCGGGGUAACGGCCCACCUAGUCUUCGAUGGAUAGGGGUUCUGAGAGGAAGGUCCCCCACAUUGGAACUGAGACACGGUCCAAACUCCUACGGGAGGCAGCAGUGAGGAAUAGUGGUCAAUGGGCGAGAGCCUGAACCAGCCAAGUAGCGUGAAGGAUGACUGCCCUAUGGGUUGUAAACUUCUUUUAUAAAGGAAUAAAGUCGGGUAUGGAUACCCGUUUGCAUGUACUUUAUGAAUAAGGAUCGGCUAACUCCGUG
RNAcentral lists this ribosomal RNA (490 nucleotides) under uncultured bacterium. Its description in RNAcentral is "partial 16S ribosomal RNA". It matches the Rfam family "Bacterial small subunit ribosomal RNA", at positions 28 to 507 of the family's 1533-position model. The record is from RNAcentral.